RNAcentral lists this ribosomal RNA (388 nucleotides) under uncultured bacterium. RNAcentral describes it as "bacterial SSU rRNA". It matches the Rfam family "Bacterial small subunit ribosomal RNA", at positions 28 to 417 of the family's 1533-position model. The record is from RNAcentral.
GACGAACGCUGGCGGCGUGCUUAACACAUGCAAGUCGAGCGGUAAGGCCCUUUCGGGGGUACACGAGCGGCGAACGGGUGAGUAACACGUGGGUGACCCGCCCUCAGCUCUGGGAUAAGCCUGGGAAACUGGGUCUAAUACUGGAUAUGACUCCACGGUGCAUGUCGUGGGGUGGAAAGCCUUGUGCGGCUGAGGAUGGGCCCGCGGCCUAUCAGCUUGUUGGUGGGGUGAUGGCCUACCAAGGCGACGACGGGUAGCCGGCCUGAGAGGGCGACCGGCCACACUGGGACUGAGACACGGCCCAGACUCCUACGGGAGGCAGCAGUGGGGAAUCUUGCGCAAUGGGCGAAAGCCUGACGCAGCGACGCCGCGUGAGGGAUGACGGCCU